This 770-nucleotide unclassified non-coding RNA is filed under the name Hevea brasiliensis (rubber tree). Lineage: Eukaryota; Viridiplantae; Streptophyta; Magnoliopsida; Malpighiales; Euphorbiaceae. The record is from RNAcentral.
GGCGAAGCCUAACAAUCACGGCACAAAGCCAACCCACCUUCUGUAAAAAUAUACUUCCGUACUUCGGACGUCUAGCCUUUUUCUCCUUUUCUCACCGCCUCCACUUUCCUCAGACUUUACAAAUAUCCCUCUCUCUCUCAUGCACCUUGCCUAACUCAUCAAUGGCGCCUUUUGUUAUACGGUCUCUUGUUAACCUUCCGGGCCAAAUCGCCGUUAAACACUUGCCAACUGAUCAAUUUCCCAGAAUUGAAAUCAAAUUGCCGCUGAUUUUGGUUAAACCGCGACAUAAUACGAUUGUUUUGGCCUCUCUUCAUGGAGAAAACGAGAGAGCAAUCGAGGCUGACGGGAAGAACACUCAGGCUGCUCUUCAAUUGCAGGAUUCUCCUUACGACGUCGUUUCCAGAGAUGCGCUUCCGAGGCCGUUAUCGUCUUCUCAAUCCUCCAGUUCGGUCUCUGAUGGGUCACGUCUUCGCGUUGCUUACCAGGGAGUUCGUGGCGCGUACAGCGAAUCAGCGGCUGAGAAAGCCUAUCCGAAUUGCGAAGCAGUACCGUGUGAGCAAUUUGACGCGGCUUUUGAGGCUGUUGAACGAUGGCUUGUGGACAGAGCAGUGUUGCCCAUUGAGAAUUCCUUAGGUGGGAGCAUCCACAGAAAUUAUGACCUUUUGCUCCGUCAUAGACUGCAUAGGGAAGUGAAAUAUGCUGUUCGCCAUUGCUUACUAGCCAAUCAUGGUGUUAAAGUUGAAGACUUGAAGAGGGUCCUAAGUCAUCCG